GGGCGACGAGCAGCAUUGGUGACUGCAGUGGACUGUAAAUCCGCCGUCUUUGUGCAUACGGGGUUCGAAUCCCUGGUCGCCCA
This 83-nucleotide transfer RNA is filed under the name Massilia rubra. RNAcentral describes it as "tRNA-Tyr". It matches the Rfam family "tRNA". From Rfam's summary of the family: Transfer RNA (tRNA) molecules are approximately 80 nucleotides in length. Their secondary structure includes four short double-helical elements and three loops (D, anti-codon, and T loops). Further hydrogen bonds mediate the characteristic L-shaped molecular structure. tRNAs have two regions of fundamental functional importance: the anti-codon, which is responsible for specific mRNA codon recognition, and the 3' end, to which the tRNAs corresponding amino acid is attached (by aminoacyl-tRNA synthetases). tRNAs cope with the degeneracy of the genetic code in two manners: having more than one tRNA (with a specific anti-codon) for a particular amino acid; and 'wobble' base-pairing, i.e. permitting non-standard base-pairing at the 3rd anti-codon position. The record is from RNAcentral. Lineage: Bacteria; Pseudomonadati; Pseudomonadota; Betaproteobacteria; Burkholderiales; Oxalobacteraceae.